CCUACGGGCGGCAGCAGUGGGGAAUAUUGUGCAAUGGAGGCAACUCUGACCCAGCAACGCCGCGUGCAUGAUGAAGGUCUUCGGAUUGGAAAAUUCUUUUCUAGGGGAGGAAGACAGUGACGCUACCUUAGGAAUAAGCCUCGGCGAUCUACGUGCCAGCAGCCGCGGUAAGACGUAGGGGUCAAGCGUUAUCCUGAAUGACUGGGGUUAAGGGGUGCGUAGGUGGUUUGACAAGUUGGUCGCGUAAGUCCGGGGCUCAACCGUGGCACUACUACCGACACUGGCGGGCUUGAGUGCAGGGGGGGCAGAUGGAAUUCGUGGUGUAGCGGUGGAAUGCGUAGAUAUCAGGAAGAACACCAGUGGCGAAGGCGACUUACGGUACUGUAACUGACACUGAGGCACGAAAGCGUGGGUAGCAAACAGGAUUAGAUACCCCAGUAGUC
RNAcentral lists this ribosomal RNA (443 nucleotides) under uncultured bacterium. RNAcentral describes it as "partial 16S ribosomal RNA". It matches the Rfam family "Bacterial small subunit ribosomal RNA", at positions 338 to 795 of the family's 1533-position model. The record is from RNAcentral.